AGAACGAACGCUGGCGGCAUGCCUAACACAUGCAAGUCGAACGCUCUCUUCGGAGGGAGUGGCGCACGGGUGAGUAACGCGUGGGAACCUGCCUUGGAGUGGGGGAUAACCGAUGGAAACGUCGGCUAAUACCGCAUACGUCCUGAGGGAGAAAGAUUUAUCGCUCUGAGAGGGGCCCGCGUCGGAUUAGCUAGUUGGUGGGGUAACGGCCUACCAAGGCGAUGAUCCGUAGCUGGUCUGAGAGGAUGAUCAGCCACACUGGGACUGAGACACGGCCCAGACUCCUACGGGAGGCAGCAGUGGGGAAUAUUGGACAAUGGGCGCAAGCCUGAUCCAGCAAUGCCGCGUGAGUGAUGACGGCCUUAGGGUUGUAAAGCUCUUUCGGCGGGGACGAUGAUGACGGUACCCGCAGAAGACGCCCCGGCUAACUUCGUGCCAGCAGCCGC
Molecule: ribosomal RNA, 446 nt
Filed under: uncultured bacterium
Lineage: Bacteria
Description: SSU rRNA
Rfam family: Bacterial small subunit ribosomal RNA
Source: RNAcentral